AGUGAACGCUGGCGGUAGGCCUAACACAUGCAAGUCGAACGGCAGCACAGUAAGAGCUUGCUCUUACGGGUGGCGAGUGGCGGACGGGUGAGGAAUACAUCGGAAUCUACUUUUUCGUGGGGGAUAACGUAGGGAAACUUACGCUAAUACCGCAUACGACCUACGGGUGAAAGCAGGGGAUCUUCGGACCUUGCGCGAUUGAAUGAGCCGAUGUCGGAUUAGCUAGUUGGCGGGGUAAAGGCCCACCAAGGCGACGAUCCGUAGCUGGUCUGAGAGGAUGAUCGGCCACACUGGAACUUGGACACGGUCCAGACUCCUACGGGAGGCAGCAGUGGGGAAUAUUGGACAAUGGGCGCAAGCCUGAUCCAGCCAUACCGCGUGGGUGAAGAAGGCCUUCGGGUUGUAAAGCCGUUUUGUUGGGAAAGAAAAGCAGCAGGUUAAUACCCCGCUGUUCUGACGGUACCCAAUAAAUAAGCACCGGCUAACUUCGUG
This 492-nucleotide ribosomal RNA is filed under the name uncultured bacterium. RNAcentral's name for it is "partial 16S ribosomal RNA". It matches the Rfam family "Bacterial small subunit ribosomal RNA", at positions 29 to 507 of the family's 1533-position model. The record is from RNAcentral.